This 258-nucleotide long non-coding RNA is filed under the name Gallus gallus (chicken). RNAcentral describes it as "lncRNA (ENSGALG00010000742.1)". Lineage: Eukaryota; Metazoa; Chordata; Aves; Galliformes; Phasianidae. The record is from RNAcentral.
CAGUCGGGCCGAUGAAGAGCAACAAAUGAAGCGCCAGCAGCAUACCCCAAUCCCGCUGCCAUUCAGGGUGAUGAUGGAGGGUGAAGAACAUGUCAGCGUAGGUGGCUUCCUCCCCUUUUCCCUCCCUCUGCAAAAACAACCUGAACUGCAGAAGAGUAUUGUAAUUCAAAGUGCCAUUGACAGGCCAUUUUUCACCACUUCCCAACUUGUAUUACAACCCCCACUGAUUACAAUACUUGAUUAAAGUUUUCUUGCUCA